This 219-nucleotide long non-coding RNA is filed under the name Gallus gallus (chicken). The record is from RNAcentral. Lineage: Eukaryota; Metazoa; Chordata; Aves; Galliformes; Phasianidae.
UCAAGAGCUCUGCAGUAUGAGAGGACAGGUCUUUCAGCAGCUUUUCUAUCCUCUUGAAAGUAUAGAAUCAUAAGAAAUGAGAACAAAUAUGUCACCAUCAUAGAAAAAUAUUUUGAUUGUCCAGUCAUCUCCUGUCAACUGCCUAUUCACCUCAUUAUAGUCAACACUGCUAGAAGCUCUUCACUUUGACUGAAUGACUUAUGUUUCUUCUAGAACCUG